RNAcentral lists this ribosomal RNA (498 nucleotides) under uncultured bacterium. RNAcentral's name for it is "partial 16S ribosomal RNA". It matches the Rfam family "Bacterial small subunit ribosomal RNA", at positions 28 to 507 of the family's 1533-position model. The record is from RNAcentral.
GACGAACGCUGGCGGCGUGCCUAAUACAUGCAAGUCGAACGAGAGCAACCGGUGCUUGCCCUGGUCAAUCUAGUGGCGAACGGGUGAGUAACACGUGGGUAACCUGCCCAUCAGAGGGGGAUAACAUCCGGAAACGGAUGCUAAAACCGCAUAGGUCUUCGAACCGCAUGGUUUGAAGAGGAAAAGAGGCGCAAGCUUCUGCUGAUGGAUGGACCCGCGGUGCAUUAGCUAGUUGGUGAGGUAACGGCUCACCAAGGCCGUGAUGCAUAGCCGACCUGAGAGGGUGAUCGGCCACAUUGGGACUGAGACACGGCCCAAACUCCUACGGGAGGCAGCAGUAGGGAAUCUUCCGCAAUGGACGCAAGUCUGACGGAGCAACGCCGCGUGAGUGAAGAAGGUUCUCGGAUCGUAAAACUCUGUUGUUAGAGAAGAACAAGUGCUAGAGUAACUGUUAGCGCCUUGACGGUAUCUAACCAGAAAGCCACGGCUAACUACGUG